Molecule: ribosomal RNA, 292 nt
Filed under: uncultured bacterium
Lineage: Bacteria
Description: partial 16S ribosomal RNA
Rfam family: Bacterial small subunit ribosomal RNA
Source: RNAcentral
GUGUCAGCAGCCGCGGUAAUACGAAGGGUGCGAGCGUUAUUCGGAAUAACUGGGCGUAAAGAGCGUGUCGGCGGUUUGUUAAGUCAACUGUAAAAGAACUCGGCUUAACCGAGUAAAUGCGGGUGAAACUGGCAGACUAGAGUACGGGAGAGAAAGGUAGAAUUCUCGGAGUAGCGGUAAAAUGCGUAGAUCUCGAGAGGAAUACCGGUUGCGAAGGCGGCCUUUUGGCCCGUAACUGACGCUUAAGCGCGAAAGCGUGGGGAGCAAACAGGAUUAGAAACCCCAGUAGUCC